CAGUCGCCACGGUAACACGUAGGGUGCAAGCGUUAAUCGGAAUUACUGGGCGUAAAGCGUGCGCAGGCGGUUUGUUAAGACAGAUGUGAAAUCCCCGGGCUUAACCUGGGAACUGCAUUUGUGACUGGCAAGCUAGAGUAUGGCAGAGGGGGGUGGAAUUCCGCGUGUAGCAGUGAAAUGCGUAGAUAUGCGGAGGAACACCGAUGGCGAAGGCAGCCCCCUGGGCCAAUACUGACGCUCAUGCACGAAAGCGUGGGGAGCAAACAGGAUUAGAUACCCCGGUAGUCCCUGUCUCUUAUAC
This 301-nucleotide ribosomal RNA is filed under the name uncultured bacterium. RNAcentral describes it as "partial 16S ribosomal RNA". It matches the Rfam family "Bacterial small subunit ribosomal RNA", at positions 509 to 807 of the family's 1533-position model. The record is from RNAcentral.